GAUGAACGCUGGCGGCGUGCCUAAUACAUGCGAGUCGAGCGAACAGACAAGGAGCUUGCUCCUUUGACGUUAGCGGCGGACGGGUGAGUAACACGUGGAUAACCUACCUAUAAGACUGGGAUAACUUCGGGAAACCGGAGCUAAUACCGGAUAAUAUAUUGAACCGCAUGGUUCAAUAGUGAAAGGCGGCUUUGCUGUCACUUAUAGAUGGAUCCGCGCCGUAUUAGCUAGUUGGUAAGGUAACGGCUUACCAAGGCAACGAUACGUAGCCGACCUGAGAGGGUGAUCGGCCACACUGGAACUGAGACACGGUCCAGACUCCUACGGGAGGCAGCAGUAGGGAAUCUUCCGCAAUGGGCGAAAGCCUGACGGAGCAACGCCGCGUGAGUGAUGAAGGUCUUCGGAUCGUAAAACUCUGUUAUCAGGGAAGAACAAAUGUGUAAGUAACUGUGCACAUCUUGACGGUACCUGAUCAGAAAGCCACGGCUAACUACGUG
RNAcentral lists this ribosomal RNA (497 nucleotides) under uncultured bacterium. Its description in RNAcentral is "partial 16S ribosomal RNA". It matches the Rfam family "Bacterial small subunit ribosomal RNA", at positions 28 to 507 of the family's 1533-position model. The record is from RNAcentral.